GACGAACGCUGGCGGCGUGCCUAAUACAUGCAAGUCGAACGCACGAAGUUGAAGAGCUUGCUCUUUAACCAAGUGAGUGGCGGACGGGUGAGUAACACGUGGGUAACCUGCCCAUUAGAGGGGGAUAACAUUCGGAAACGGAUGCUAAUACCGCAUAGUUUCAGGGAUCGCAUGAUUCUUGAAGGAAAGGUGGCUCCGGCUACCACUAAUGGAUGGACCCGCGGCGUAUUAGCUAGUUGGUGAGGUAAUGGCUCACCAAGGCAAUGAUACGUAGCCGACCUGAGAGGGUGAUCGGCCACACUGGGACUGAGACACGGCCCGGACUCCUACGGGAGGCAGCAGUAGGGAAGCUUCCGCAAUGGACGAAAGUCUGACGGAGCAACGCCGCGUGAGUGAAGAAGGUUUUCGGAUCGUAAAACUCUGUUGUUAAAGAAGAACAAGGAUGAGAGUAACUGCUCAUCCCCUGACGGUAUUUAACCAGAAAGCCACGGCUAACUACGUGCCAGCAGCCGCGGUAAUACGUAGGUGGCAAGCGUUGUCCGGAUUUAUUGGGCGUAAAGCGAGCGCAGGCGGUUCUUUAAGUCUGAUGUGAAAGCCCCCGGCUCAACCGGGGAGGGUCAUUGGAAACUGGAGAACUUGAGUGCAGAAGAGGAGAGUGGAAUUCCACGUGUAGCGGUGAAAUGCGUAGAUAUGUGGAGGAACACCAGUGGCGAAGGCGACUCUCUGGUCUGUAACUGACGCUGAGGCUCGAAAGUGUGGGGAGCAAACAGG
RNAcentral lists this ribosomal RNA (771 nucleotides) under uncultured Vagococcus sp. Its description in RNAcentral is "bacterial SSU rRNA". It matches the Rfam family "Bacterial small subunit ribosomal RNA", at positions 28 to 776 of the family's 1533-position model. The record is from RNAcentral. Lineage: Bacteria; Bacillati; Bacillota; Bacilli; Lactobacillales; Enterococcaceae.